Long non-coding RNA from Bos taurus (domestic cattle), 599 nucleotides. NCBI's taxonomy places the organism in Eukaryota, Metazoa, Chordata, Mammalia, Artiodactyla, Bovidae. The record is from Ensembl.
AGGGGCAAAAGAUGCAGCCAGGGCAGUCUUGCUGUCAGGGAAUUCAUUCACAGUCUGAGGCAGCAAUCACAAUAAAAGCAGAAAAUCACAACAAAUCAUGACAGGUGCAAGAAAAGAGGAAUACCAGCUGUUGCAUUGGGCAUGGACACGGGCUUCUCUCUAGUUGUGGCACACUGACCUGGUUGUCCCAUGAAGUGUGGGAUCUUAGUUCCCCGACUGGGGAUGGAAGGUGAUUCUUAACCACUGGACCACCAGUGUCCUGAACACAUCAGACCUCAAUCAAUUCUGACCUUCUUGAAGUGAAUUUCAGGCACACAGAGGUUUCCACUCUCACCUGCGUGAAUCUUGUGCUCCGUGGGGCACCAGCUUGCCGUUCUCAGUGUCAACUGUGACUCCUCUACUGUAUGGCUUUGGGCUGGUCACUGCAUAUCUUCCUGAAAAAAUGGGCAUAAUGGGACUUUCCUGGUGGUCCAGUGGCUAAAACACUGUGCUCCCAAAGCAGGGGGCCCAGGGGGCCCAGGUUCAAUCCCUGGUCAAGCAACUAGAUCCCACAUGCUGCAACCAAGAGUUUGCGCACUGAAACAAAAGGUCCCACAUGC